GUCUCCAACCACACCACCCUAAACAUGCAUGUUCUCACCUGAUAUCUGAAACUGAGCAGGGCUGGGCUUGGAUAGUACUUGGAUGAGAAAAAAGUAACUUGAUGAUGCAAUUA
This 113-nucleotide ribosomal RNA is filed under the name Erinaceus europaeus (western European hedgehog). The record is from RNAcentral. Lineage: Eukaryota; Metazoa; Chordata; Mammalia; Eulipotyphla; Erinaceidae.